AGAGUUUGAUCCUGGCUCAGAAUCAACGCUGGCGGCGUGCCUAACACAUGCAAGUCGAGCGAGAAAGUGGAGCAAUCCAUGAGUAAAGCGGCGACCGGGUGAGUAACACGUGACUAACCUACCUUCGAGUGGGGAAUAACUCCGGGAAACCGGGGCUAAUACCGCAUAACAUCGAAAGAUCAAAGCAGCAAUGCGCUUGAAGAGGGGGUCGCGGCUGAUUAGCUAGUUGGCGGGGUAGCGGCCCACCAAGGCGAAGAUCGGUAUCCGGCCUGAGAGGGCGCACGGACACACUGGAACUGAAACACGGUCCAGACUCCUACGGGAGGCAGCAGUGGGGAAUUUUGCGCAAUGGGGGAAACCCUGACGCAGCAACGCCGCGUGGAGGAUGAAGCCCCUUGGGGCGUAAACUCCUUUCGACCAAGACGAUAAUGACGGUACUGGUGGAAGAAGCACCGGCUAACUCUGUGCCAGCAGCCGCGGUAAU
Molecule: ribosomal RNA, 484 nt
Filed under: uncultured soil bacterium
Lineage: Bacteria
Description: bacterial SSU rRNA
Rfam family: Bacterial small subunit ribosomal RNA
Source: RNAcentral